UCAUAUCCGUUGGGGUGCCCACUUGAGGGGCUGAGAGGCAAGGCCAACCCAUCGAACCUGAUCCGGUCAGUACCGGCGUAGGGAACGGAAAUGGACCAUCA
This 101-nucleotide non-coding RNA is filed under the name Roseovarius halotolerans. Its description in RNAcentral is "TPP sequence". It matches the Rfam family "TPP riboswitch aptamer (THI element)". From Rfam's summary of the family: Vitamin B(1) in its active form thiamin pyrophosphate (TPP) is an essential coenzyme that is synthesised by coupling of pyrimidine and thiazole moieties in bacteria. The previously detected thiamin-regulatory element, thi box was extended, resulting in a new, highly conserved RNA secondary structure, the THI element, which is widely distributed in eubacteria and also occurs in some archaea. Lineage: Bacteria; Pseudomonadati; Pseudomonadota; Alphaproteobacteria; Rhodobacterales; Roseobacteraceae. The record is from Rfam by way of RNAcentral.